CGACAGCUGGCUGGCCGAAGGCAGAUGACAGAGACAGACGAAAGGUCACAGAAAACGGGAAUGGAAUUCACAGAUUCGGUUGAAUUCUUGUGAUUAUUUUGUGAAGCAAAUAUUAUUUGAAAGUUCAAAUACUACAAACAUGGAUAUAGAAGAGUGUCUCAAAGAAUGGGAGGACUUAGUGGUGGAUUACAAACGUUUAGAGGUCACCAACAAAGACUAUGUCGCGAAAUUGGAGGAGGUUGGUGAGUUGCAAGCAGCCUGCAUGAAGGAGAUCAACCAUCAGAAAUACCGCAUGUCUAUCAUAGCGGCUGCGUUGAAAAGGUUAGAAAAGAAAACCGUCACAAAGGAUGAUCGCGUUGCUAACUUGGAGAAGGAAAUCAUGAAAAGGAAAGCCAUGCUGCGUGAGAUUAACGCGACGCUGCCGAAACAGAACAGCCUGUAUCUGCGCAUCAUACUCGGAAACGUCAACGUGUCUAUACUCAACAAAAAUGACAAGUUCAAAUACAAGGAUGAAUAUGAAAAGUUUAAACUGAUCCUCAGUGCUAUAGCCUUCGUGUUAGCUGUUGCUAAUCUUUACAUAGAUUUCAGGCCCCUUCAAUUAAUACUGUUGUUCCUGCUGGUGUGGUACUACUGCACUCUGACGAUUCGCGAGAGCAUCCUCAAGGUGAACGGAUCCAGGAUCAAGGGCUGGUGGAGACUACACCACUUUAUAUCGACUGUGGUCGCCGGUAUACUGCUCAUCUGGCCACAGAAUGAACCGUGGAAUAUGUUUAGACACACGUUUAUGUGGUUCAUCGCUUAUAUCAGUGUAGUCCAAUACAUGCAGUUCAGAUACCAAAGCGGAGUACUCUACAGGCUAAAGGCUUUAGGCGCUCGCCAUAACAUGGACAUUACCAUUGAAGGAUUUCACUCGUGGAUGUGGCGGGGGCUAUCGUACCUGCUGCCUUUCUUGUUCGGCGGUUAUGUAUUCCAAUUAUACAUCGCUUAUACAUUGUACAGCCUCAGUUACCACCCCGACGCCACUUGGCAGAUCCCAGCAUUAAGUUUAUCAUUCCUGACGAUCGGCAUCGGAAACUGCGCGACGACGCUCAUCGUGAUUCCUCAGAAACUCAACGAGCAGUAAAUAUCUGGACUUCAUAUUCCUAUUCAUUUUAUAAGGAGUCUGUAAUUUAUGGAUUUCUCGUAUAUUUUAUCUGCGCAUUGAGUGCAAGUAAUACACUUAGAUGUAAAGUGCUUUAACUGUACAUUAUUUAAGUAUUUAUAUUUCAAAUUAUUAUAGUUUGCGUUUAGUACAUUCAUUUAAGUAUGUUUAUUUAAAUAUGAACAAAUUUUGUGCUUGACAAAUGUUGUGUUUUGCUUUUAAGAUUUUGCAUAAAAACGUUGUUUAAAGGUUAUGCAUUUGAAUGAGUAGAUAUUAGCUUUUGCAAAAUAGCUUCACCGAUACAGUUGGCGUGGUCGGACAAUUUUUUCCAAUACUUGAUACAUAAAUUCCCUGUUUUGACCUCAUAAUUAUACAAAAUGUUUAAUAACCAAUAAAUGUGUUAAUGAAGUAGAAUCAAUAAUGAUCUAGAUACAUCGACCAAUAGCUUAUAAUUUCCUUGUAUUCUCUUACGUUCAAGCACCUAUAAAGUAAAUAGAGUACGGGCAAGUAAACACUACUAAGAAAACAUUUGAUUUAUAUAGGAAAAUAAAAUGGUUUAUCUUUUAUCUAGUUAACAUUAUCGACUCAAACAACGAUUAUGAAAAAUAAUACAUACUUAUUUCGAAAGUGUUUUGCACGAGUUAUUUGUACUAUUGUGCAUGUUUUGAUAUUCUUGUCUGCAUCAGAUUUGUCACUUGGAGGAUUGACGCAAAAAUGUACGAGUCUCUUUAUCUCUCAACUGUUUUUAAUGUAUGCUAUUUAAUGUUUACGUUUCUCAAAACCAAGUGACAUAUCGAAUCGCAUUUUAUAUGAUAUUUUUCAGAACUUUUACUGGAGAAAACAAUAGGUAGUAAAAUCUGCUUUUUAUAUGAUUUCAUGUGGAUCUGAUGAUAGUGUAUGUGAAUCUAGUUAUUGUAUGCAAUAAAAGGCACAAAUAGUUCAUUUUUAAUAAAGUUUUGGAGGGUUUAUUUAUUCAUUAAUUGCGCCAUACUUGCAUAAAUAUCUAUUUGUUAACUGCAUCACAAUAUUGGUCUUAAUUUUUUAUAUCUUAAAAUGGAAUGUCAUGUUAAUUUGGAACUUUAAAUUAUGAACAUAAAUAUAAGAUGGAGAAGUCAAACUAGCUAUAGCUUGUAAUUAGAUGAGCCGUCCUACAAAUAAUACAUAAUGACUAUGAUAAUAUUAAUGUGUUAUCAAACUUUUAUAGGGCUAGUCAUAUUCUGGCAAGGCUGUUUAGCUGUUACUUUAUGAUGGAAUUAAUGCAGGUAUCCUGAAUAUACUGAUAAUACUUUAUUGAUAAUGAUGUUAUCGUUUUGUUGUUAGACGUCGAUAUCACGGCAAUAACAAUAAUUUUACGCAACUGGUGACUUGUCCGGGCCACAUCUGCCAUCUUUGCUAUUUAUUACUACGUAGAUAAAAUUACAACGGUGAUUUUGUUAGGCUUUAUCUUUGUUAUUUAUUGGCAUUGUUAGCGAUACGCUUGGCUAUUGCUCUGGUGGUGGUAUUUCUAGAAUAUUAAAGGAGUGAUUAGAGCUACCUAUAUUGGUGCUACAUCUAUUUAUGAAAAAAAAACACGAGAUAAUGUUGCUAACAUUGAUGCUAUCGAAUUUGCAAGUUGUGGUCCGGGCAAUGUACAGAUAGAUACAGUAGUGAUAUUUAUAAUAAUUUAUGAUGCAGGAUAAUAAAGGGUAAUAGACAGGCUUGUACACAAGAGAGUGAAUAUUUCGUGCCUUGAUCAAACAAUAAACUAUUCGUAAUUUAGUGAUAAUGUUGUACUUAUGCUUUGUAUAUUCGAUUAAUUUAUAAUGGUUGUUUUAGCUCUUAUUUUGUAAUGGAUGUUAUUUAUUUGAAUGCAUUGAUGAAUAAAUUUGUUUUUUCAGCGA
This is an RNA transcript of Helicoverpa armigera (cotton bollworm), 3021 nucleotides long. It is a transcript of the gene named transmembrane protein 120 homolog, with no coding region annotated. NCBI's taxonomy places the organism in Eukaryota, Metazoa, Arthropoda, Insecta, Lepidoptera, Noctuidae. The transcript has 9 exons. The record is from RefSeq and is a predicted model, not a curated record.